RNAcentral lists this ribosomal RNA (468 nucleotides) under uncultured bacterium. Its description in RNAcentral is "partial 16S ribosomal RNA". It matches the Rfam family "Bacterial small subunit ribosomal RNA", at positions 28 to 507 of the family's 1533-position model. The record is from RNAcentral.
GACGAACGCUGGCGGCGUGCUUAACACAUGCAAGUCGAACGGAAAGGCCCUGCUUGUGUGGGGUGCUCGAGUGGCGAACGGGUGAGUAACACGUGAGUAACCUGCCCUUGACUUUGGGAUAACUUCAGGAAACUGGGGCUAAUACCGGAUAGGAGCUCCUGCUGCAUGGUGGGGGUUGGAAAGUUUCGGCGGUUGGGGAUGGACGCGCGGCUUAUCAGCUUGUUGGGGGGGUAGUGGCUUACCAAGGCUUUGACGGGUAGCCGGCCUGAGAGGGUGACCGGCCACAUUGGGACUGAGAGACGGCCCAGACUCCUACGGGAGGCAGCAGGGGGGAAUAUUGCACAAUGGGCGGAAGCCUGAUGCAGCAACGCCGCGUGCGGGAUGACGGCCUUCGGGUUGUAAACCGCUUCCGCCUGUGACGAAGCGUGAGUGACGGUAAUGGGUAAAGAAGCACCGGCUAACUACGUG